AUUAUUAUAGUUUAAAUAAAAUAAAGGUUUGUGGUGCCUUAGAUGUAGAUUUUACUAAUAAUC
Molecule: transfer RNA, 63 nt
Filed under: Simocephalus sibiricus
Lineage: Eukaryota; Metazoa; Arthropoda; Branchiopoda; Diplostraca; Daphniidae
Description: tRNA-His
Source: RNAcentral